Molecule: ribosomal RNA, 359 nt
Filed under: Salmonella enterica subsp. enterica serovar Typhimurium str. CDC_2009K1283
Lineage: Bacteria; Pseudomonadati; Pseudomonadota; Gammaproteobacteria; Enterobacterales; Enterobacteriaceae
Description: bacterial SSU rRNA
Rfam family: Bacterial small subunit ribosomal RNA
Source: RNAcentral
UUAAAUUGAAGAGUUUGAUCAUGGCUCAGAUUGAACGCUGGCGGCAGGCCUAACACAUGCAAGUCGAACGGUAACAGGAAGCAGCUUGCUGCUUCGCUGACGAGUGGCGGACGGGUGAGUAAUGUCUGGGAAACUGCCUGAUGGAGGGGGAUAACUACUGGAAACGGUGGCUAAUACCGCAUAACGUCGCAAGACCAAAGAGGGGGACCUUCGGGCCUCUUGCCAUCAGAUGUGCCCAGAUGGGAUUAGCUUGUUGGUGAGGUAACGGCUCACCAAGGCGACGAUCCCUAGCUGGUCUGAGAGGAUGGACCAGCCACACUGGAACUGAGACACCGGUCCAGACUCCUACGGGAGGCAGC